Molecule: non-coding RNA, 116 nt
Filed under: Acinetobacter sp. ANC 4558
Lineage: Bacteria; Pseudomonadati; Pseudomonadota; Gammaproteobacteria; Moraxellales; Moraxellaceae
Description: Bacterial small subunit ribosomal RNA
Rfam family: Bacterial small subunit ribosomal RNA
Source: Rfam by way of RNAcentral
UAACUGAAGAGUUUGAUCAUGGCUCAGAUUGAACGCUGGCGGCAGGCUUAACACAUGCAAGUCGAGCGGGGAGAUGUAGCUUGCUACAUCACCUAGCGGCGGACGGGUGAGUAAUG